This 327-nucleotide ribosomal RNA is filed under the name Triticum aestivum (bread wheat). Its description in RNAcentral is "partial small subunit ribosomal RNA". The record is from RNAcentral. Lineage: Eukaryota; Viridiplantae; Streptophyta; Magnoliopsida; Poales; Poaceae.
AUGUCGAUCGUGGGCGACGUGAGGAGGGACAAGGCAGAGAAAGGGGGUCAGGUUGGCGCCGCAUUAGAGGUGAGCGAGGGGGCCGGGGUUGCAUCGCCGCCGAGAUGCGUGAGGGGAUCGGAGCUGCGCCAAGCGGAUUCAUCAGAGCACUUCGCUCCUGCUGCCUUUGGCCUGAUGCUUAGAUGGAUUGAUUUGUCGGGUCAGGGAUCCUUCAGUUUUGUUGGAUCCGAAGUAAGAGCACCGGGACUUCAAGGACGAUGUAGAUUGUCGAAGGCUAAGUUGCAGAGUGCAUGGGCAGCAGUACCAGAGCAAGAACCUCGCGCGUGA